Molecule: ribosomal RNA, 499 nt
Filed under: uncultured bacterium
Lineage: Bacteria
Description: bacterial SSU rRNA
Rfam family: Bacterial small subunit ribosomal RNA
Source: RNAcentral
GAUGAACGCUAGCUACAGGCUUAACACAUGCAAGUCGAGGGGCAGCAUGCUGAUAGCUUGCUAUCAGUGAUGGCGACCGGCGCACGGGUGAGUAACGCGUAUCCAACCUGCCCUUGUCCACGGGAUAACCCGGUGAAAACCGGCCUAAUACCGUAUGAGGUCACAAGCGGGCAUCCAACUGUGACGAAAGGUUUUGCGGACAAGGAUGGGGAUGCGUCCGAUUAGCUUGACGGCGGGGUAACGGCCCACCGUGGCGACGAUCGGUAGGGGUUCUGAGAGGAAGGUCCCCCACAUUGGAACUGAGACACGGUCCAAACUCCUACGGGAGGCAGCAGUGAGGAAUAUUGGUCAAUGGACGGGAGUCUGAACCAGCCAAGUAGCGUGCAGGAUGACGGCCCUAUGGGUUGUAAACUGCUUUUGUGCGGGGAUAAAGUGUGGGACGUGUCCCAUAUUGCAGGUACCGCAUGAAUAAGGACCGGCUAAUUCCGUGCCAGCAGCC